GGAUGUUAGGGCGAUCUGGCUGUGACAUCCAUCACCCCAUUGAUCGCAGGGUUGAUUCGGCUGCUCUGGCUGGCUAGGCGGGUGUCCCCUUCCUCCCUCACCCCUCCAUGUGCGUCCCUCACGAAGCCGCGCGCUCGGUCGAAGAGGACGGCCUUCCCCGAAUAGAGACGGACCCGCCUUCGGUCGGUCGAGGGUAUACGAGCAGCUACAACCUGCUAGACCCUCCAAACAAGCUCUCAAGUAGCAUAACGUCAAGGUGCACCCCUGCUAUGUAGCAUGUAUCGGUACUGUAUUCCUCUUUAUAGGAAAAUAAAAUUCCUUUAGAUGGAUAUACCACAUGGCUUU
This is an unclassified non-coding RNA of Erinaceus europaeus (western European hedgehog), 345 nucleotides long. Its record names the gene 7SK. It matches the Rfam family "7SK RNA". Rfam says of the family: 7SK was discovered as an abundant small nuclear RNA in the mid-70s but a possible function has only recently been suggested. NCBI's taxonomy places the organism in Eukaryota, Metazoa, Chordata, Mammalia, Eulipotyphla, Erinaceidae. The record is from Ensembl.